This is a long non-coding RNA of Oncorhynchus kisutch (coho salmon), 3160 nucleotides long. RefSeq lists it as uncharacterized. Lineage: Eukaryota; Metazoa; Chordata; Actinopteri; Salmoniformes; Salmonidae. The record is from RefSeq and is a predicted model, not a curated record. The transcript is spliced from 2 exons.
ACACGGGAGGGUUGGAGGUAGUGAGAGGUUGCUACCGAACAGAGGUCCUCAGGUUCUGCUAGAACCAAGGGGCUUGGUGUUCUACCCCAGAAGAAGCCGGGUUAUUUUUCUUUAUUGUUUUAAAUAAACACCCUUGAAACUGAGGUAACACACUUGUCUGAUCUGUGUAAACAUUUUGAUCAAACCCCCUGGUCUGCCACAAGUGGUGGAGAAUGCGGGCAAGUCUGAAAACAUGGUCAGACCAGGGUUGACGUUUACGCAGUAUCAGCACGGAGGAGUUGAUAGCGCAGUUCGUUCGGGCCCAACAGGACAUUCAGGAACGAACGCUGGAAGAACAGCGUCUACAGAAUGUCCAACAGCUGGAGGAUGUCAGGAAGCUGCGAGGAGAAACACAGACCGAAUCGCAUCCCAAUCGGUUUUUAAAUCAAGCUAACUGAGGAUGAUGAUAUCGAGACCUACCUCCACACGUUCGAAUGGACAGCACUCCGUGAAGGUUGGCCCAAGGCGUAUUAUGAUCAACACCAAACAGGCGGCUAAAUACGACUGUUUCAAGUGGGAGGUACUCAGCCGCUACAGGUACAGCCUGACCCUUUGGUCCCAACUGGAGGUUCUUGGCAGAAGCUUCCCCCCCGAGCCCAAGUGAGUGAACUACUGCGCAUCACCAGAGCAUGGCUCCUAACCGAUGUAGCCACCUUCCCCAUUAUCAACAAAGUGGUCAUGGAUCGCUUCUUACAGGUGCUACCUCACGACAUGAAGAGGGCGGCAAGCCUACGCAUGCCCCAAACCUCGGGAGGACCUCUUGGGAGCCGUGGAGACGCACCAGAAUACAGAGGCCCUACUGAAGAGGACGUAGGCCGAGUCCAGGAGCCGUCGGAGGGAACGGAAGGACAAUCCCACUACCGUACUUGCCAAUCUGACAGUCAGCUGGGCUAAAGGACUGCAGACCCACAGGGAGACCGCCAGGCGAGAGUCAACCCACCACCGACAACCCCAGGUGGAUGAAGACCAAAGGUGAUGUUUUGAGUGUGGCACCCUGCAUGGAAUUGCCCGGGUCGAGAGGAGUCGAUGCCAUCAGGGGGGCCUGGAGACGAGUCGGGCCACACAGUAAACUGUCAUCUCCUGUUGGGCCCACAGCGAACCACCUACACCCAUGGGCCCCGGUGAAAGUUGACAGUCAUGACACCCACACUCCGGGAGUGUGGUAACACUCAUACAAGCACGCCUGCAGGCCCAUCUGACCAGGCAUGGUGAGGAGAUGUCUAUCUCUUGUGCCCACAGUGGCUCCAAGCGGUAUUCGACCGGGCAGACCACCAUCAUGACGCCACAAGAGAGCUGCCAGAUGGUGGUGGGUGCCGUACCAGAGUUUCUGGUACCCCUCCUCGUGGAACAAGAUUGUCCGCAGCACAAGCUGGUAAAAAAGGAGUAUGAGCCCAUGCUCCCCCUCCUUGAUUUCGAGGGACCCCUGAGACACCUUCCCUAAGCCCCCCGAGGGGGACAGUUCAGGACCUCCCAGUGGGAGGAUCCGAACUUGAAAGCCGCUGCAGCCCAAGUGAUAGUGGUGGAUGGCCAGCUUCUUCUGGGGUUGAAUGACCGGCAAUACCCCCAUUUCCAAAUCGAAAAUAACCUGUUGUAUCAGGUAUCGCACGAACAGGGAGAACUUCGAGAGGUGCUGUUGCUGUCCCACCGGUACGUCGGGAGCCAUUCUUUAGCUAGCCCACACCCUUUUGUUGGGGGCGCACCUGAGAAUGGAGAAGAUCCGGUAACGGAUUUCCGCCUGGGUUGAGGCGGGCCGUGGAAGACUAUUGCCGUAGCUACCCAGAGUGUCAAAUCACCGCUCCAAAAACAAACGGUACGAAAGAGGCCAUACCAGAUCUCCAAGGCCUGAAGGAAGGCCGUGAAGCAGGAGGUGGAGGCUAUGCUGAGGAUGGGAGUCAUCGAAGGAGUCCCAAAGUGCAGCACUAUCAUGUUGGUGCCCAAACCGUACGGUAGUCUGCGUUUCUGCAAUGACAUCUAGGGGGUGAACAACAUCAGUUUGUUUGACGCCUACCCCAUGACGAGGGUGGAUAAGUUCAUUGACCGGUUGGGAAAGGCACAGUACAUCAGCACCCUGGACCUGACCAGGUACCCUUGGAAGCCUCCACCCGGGAGAAGACAGCAUUCUUGACACAGGACGGGUUAUACCAAUACCGGGUCUCCCCAUUCGUUCUCCAUGGAGCCCUGCCCACGUUUCAGCGCCUGAUGGACUUAGUCCUCCGACCCCACCAACAGUACGCAGUGGCCUAUUUGGAUGACAUCAUCCACAGCCAAGGUUGGGAAGCGCUGACGUGCCUCCAGGUGGUACUGGAUGCGCUCAGGAAAGCCGGGUUGACAGAAAAUCCCAAGAAAGGCAAGCUGGGGUUCGAGGAGGUGGAGUUCCUGGGGUAUUUGAUUGGACAGGGGGAAUGUUAUGCCCCAGGAGAGGAAGGUCCAGGCGGUUCGUGACUGGCCCGUUCCCCACACCAAGACAAAGGUCAAGUCCUUCCUGAGGCUGGUGGGAUACUAUCACUGGGUUUAUCCAAUGUUGCAGCUAUAGCCUCCCCCUUACCGAUCUGACCAGAGCCCACCUUCCAAAAACAGUGAAGUGGUUGGAUGAGGCCAAAGUGGCAUUCAGGCGCCUGAAAGAAGCCCUGUGCUCCCAUCCGAUUCUCGUGACGCUCGAUUUCCAGGUACCGAUGGUCGUGCAGACGGAUGCCUACGACACAGAACUAGGGUCUGUCCUGUCCCAGGUCAGGUGUGAAGCAUGGGAACGCGGAUGCCCUAUCAAGAAGGGAGAUGUACAUCGCACUGACGACCGGAAGGGGCGUACCGCAGACCAGCCACUAGGGGGAGACUCGAGGCCUGGUGGUGACAGACCUUCUACAUCACGCUGCGGUGGCUCCCUCUGCUGGACGUGCCAGGUCUCGUCGGGGCCUCCGGCCAGGACUAAUUGGGGAUGAUUGCUCACCAGCCGUAAGGGGCCCAUAAAGCUGCCAGGAGGGCAGCACACGGAGGGUUGGAGGUAGUGAUAGGUUGCUACCAGACAGACGUCCUCAUGUUCUGCUAGAACCGAGGGGCUUGGCGUUCUACCCCAGAGGAAACCGGGUUAUUUUUCUUUGUUUUAAAUAAACACCCUUGAAACUGU